UGAUCGGCCACAUUGGGACUGAGACACGGCCCAAACUCCUACGGGAGGCAGCAGUAGGGAAUCUUCGGCAAUGGACGAAAGUCUGACCGAGCAACGCCGCGUGAGCGAAGAAGGCCUUCGGGUCGUAAAGCUCUGUUGUUAGAGAAGAACAUGGGUGAGAGUAACUGUUCACCCCUUGACGGUAUCUAACCAGAAAGCCACGGCUAACUACGUGCCAGCAGCCGCGGUAAUACGUAGGUGGCAAGCGUUGUCCGGAAUUAUUGGGCGUAAAGCGCGCGCAGGCGGUCUCUUAAGUCUGAUGUGAAAGCCCCCGGCUCAACCGGGGAGGGUCAUUGGAAACUGGGAGACUUGAGGACAGAAGAGGAGAGUGGAAUUCCAAGUGUAGCGGUGAAAUGCGUAGAUAUUUGGAGGAACACCAGUGGCGAAGGCGGCUCUCUGGUCUGUUACUGACGCUGAGGCGCGAAAGCGUGGGGAGCAAACAGGAUUAGAUACCCUGGUAGUCCACGCCGUAAACGAUGAGUGCUAGUGUUUAAGGGGGUUUCCGCCCCUUAGUGCUGCAGUUAACGCAUUAAGCACUCGCCUGGGGAGUACGACCGCAAGUUGAACUCAAGGAAUUGACGGGGCCGCACAGCGGUGAGCAUGUGGUUUAAUUCGAAGCACGCGAGACUUACAGUC
Molecule: ribosomal RNA, 675 nt
Filed under: uncultured bacterium
Lineage: Bacteria
Description: bacterial SSU rRNA
Rfam family: Bacterial small subunit ribosomal RNA
Source: RNAcentral